This 253-nucleotide ribosomal RNA is filed under the name uncultured bacterium. Its description in RNAcentral is "partial 16S ribosomal RNA". It matches the Rfam family "Bacterial small subunit ribosomal RNA", at positions 524 to 776 of the family's 1533-position model. The record is from RNAcentral.
UACGUAGGGUGCGAGCGUUAAUCGGAAUUACUGGGCGUAAAGCGUGCGCAGGCGGCGCGUUAAGACAGGUGUGAAAGCCCCGAGCUUAACUUGGGAAUGGCGCUUGUGACUGGCGUGCUGGAGUGUGGCAGAGGGAGGUGGAAUUCCACGUGUAGCAGUGAAAUGCGUAGAGAUGUGGAGGAACACCGAUGGCGAAGGCAGCCUCCUGGGCCAGCACUGACGCUCAUGCACGAAAGCGUGGGGAGCAAACAGG